Molecule: transfer-messenger RNA, 218 nt
Filed under: Flavobacteriaceae bacterium
Lineage: Bacteria; Pseudomonadati; Bacteroidota; Flavobacteriia; Flavobacteriales; Flavobacteriaceae
Description: partial transfer-messenger RNA
Rfam family: transfer-messenger RNA
About the family: Bacterial tmRNA, also known as 10Sa RNA or SsrA, is named for its dual tRNA and mRNA-like properties. Its role is to liberate the mRNA from a stalled ribosome.
Source: RNAcentral
GGGGUCGACUGGUUUUGACAGCGAGUCUGAAUAAAUAGUAAGCAAAUCGAGCUCUGGAUUAAAGCUCGUAAAAAUUCUGAUACCAAACUUUAAAUGGCGAUAAUAAAUACGCUCUUGCAGCCUAAUAACUGAAUUAUAGUAAGUUAAGGCCUUGUCCCGCUAGGCGGGAAGGUGAGAUGUCUCAGAACAGCCCUUGUUGACGGCGAUUCAUUAUGAGG